AAAGCAACUGAAAUAAACUAAAACGGAUUUAGUGUUCACUCAUACUCGGACGAAGCGCGCAAUCUAAGCAAGGAGUGACGUUGAAGAGCGAUAUGACUGCGCGGGUACCGUGCAGGUGAGCAAUGCAAUGCCUAUUGAUGCGAGAGAGUGACGUGACGUCACAGUUGGAGGUGAGAUUGGAGUUGCUUGGUGCGUCUCUAGUCGUAGGGGAGCCGCGAUGGUAGCAAGGGAGUGAGUCUUCUUCGUGUUACUGCUGGUUGGUAAAGGGCUGAGAGGGCAUUGUAGUUCCUAUAAAAUGGGUUAUUACGGGUACUGUGACAGUUUUGUGAUGCUAUAUGAGGAGCGAUUCAAGUGGAUUUGCAGAGGGAUGGAACUGAAUGGUGUUGUGUUGAUCAAAGAAGAUGAGUAGGCGCUAUGGUGGGUCUAAUCGAAGAAAGAAGCUGCUAUGGCGAUGUGUCAAUGAGCUAUGGUUUCAAAUGAGAAAGCUUGGGGAACAGAACACUGGGUAUAAUGUCGAUGGAGGAGAAUGGAUCGAAAUG
This 539-nucleotide unclassified non-coding RNA is filed under the name Hevea brasiliensis (rubber tree). Lineage: Eukaryota; Viridiplantae; Streptophyta; Magnoliopsida; Malpighiales; Euphorbiaceae. The record is from RNAcentral.